GCUGGGUGUGGUGGUGUGUGCCUGUAGUCCCAGCUACUCAGGAGGCUGAAGCAGGAGGAUUGCUUGAGCCCAGGAGAUUGGGGCUGCAGUGAGCUGUGAUUGCACCAUCGCACUCCAGCCUGGGCAACAGAGUGAGACUCUGUCUCAA
This is a non-coding RNA of Gorilla gorilla gorilla (western lowland gorilla), 148 nucleotides long. It matches the Rfam family "Metazoan signal recognition particle RNA". Rfam says of the family: The signal recognition particle (SRP) is a universally conserved ribonucleoprotein. It is involved in the co-translational targeting of proteins to membranes. The record is from Rfam. Lineage: Eukaryota; Metazoa; Chordata; Mammalia; Primates; Hominidae.